UUGCAAAGUGAAUCGUCAGCUU
RNAcentral lists this microRNA (22 nucleotides) under Parasteatoda tepidariorum (common house spider). RNAcentral's name for it is "pte-miR-11943-5p". The record is from miRBase by way of RNAcentral. Lineage: Eukaryota; Metazoa; Arthropoda; Arachnida; Araneae; Theridiidae.